RNAcentral lists this ribosomal RNA (229 nucleotides) under uncultured bacterium. RNAcentral describes it as "partial 16S ribosomal RNA". It matches the Rfam family "Bacterial small subunit ribosomal RNA", at positions 568 to 796 of the family's 1533-position model. The record is from RNAcentral.
UGCGUAGGCGGAAUAUUAAGUCAGUGGUGAAAUCCCAGAGCUCAACUCUGGAACUGCCAUUGAAACUGGUAUUCUUGAAUUUAGUUGAGGUAGGCGGAAUGUGUAAUGUAGCGGUGAAAUGCUUAGAUAUUACACAGAACACCGAUUGCGAAGGCAGCUUACUAAGCUAUGAUUGACGCUGAGGUACGAAAGCGUGGGGAGCGAACAGGAUUAGAUACCCUGGUAGUCC